GACGAACGCUGGCGGCGUGCUUAACACAUGCAAGUCGAGCGGUAAGGCCCUUUCGGGGGUACACGAGCGGCGAACGGGUGAGUAACACGUGGGUGACCUGCCUUUAGCUCUGGGAUAAGCCUGGGAAACUGGGUCUAAUACCGGAUAUGACCCUAUGGCGCAUGUUGUGGGGUGGAAAGCCUUGUGCGGCUAGGGAUGGGCCCGCGGCCUAUCAGCUUGUUGGUGGGGUGAUGGCCUACCAAGGCGACGACGGUAGCCGGCCUGAGAGGGCGACCGGCCACACUGGGACUGAGACACGGCCCAGACUCCUACGGGAGGCAGCAGUGGGGAAUCUUGCGCAAUGGGCGAAAGCCUGACGCAGCGACGCCGCGUGA
RNAcentral lists this ribosomal RNA (374 nucleotides) under uncultured bacterium. RNAcentral's name for it is "bacterial SSU rRNA". It matches the Rfam family "Bacterial small subunit ribosomal RNA", at positions 28 to 404 of the family's 1533-position model. The record is from RNAcentral.